AAUGUUGGACAAUGGGGGCAACCCUGAUCGAGCCAUGCCGCGUGUGUGAAGAAGGCCUUCUGAUUGUAAAGCACUUUAAGUUGUGUGGAAGGGAUUUAGGCUAAUAUCCUGAAGUUUUUACGUUACCAACAGAAGAUGCAUCGGCUAACCCUGUGCCAGCAGCCGCGGUAAUACAGAGGGUGCAAGCGUUAAUCGGAAUUACUGGGCGUAAAGCGCGCGUAGGCGGUUCAGUACGAUGGGCAUGGAUUCCCCCUGCUUAACCUGGGAACUGAUUUCAUAACUGCUGAGCUAGAGUACGGUAGAGGGUAGUGGAAUUUCCUGUGUGGCGAUGAAAUGCGUAGAUAUAGGAAGGAACACCAGUGGCGAAGGCGACUACCUGGACUGAUACUGACACUGAGGUGCGAAAGCGUGGGGAGCAAGC
This 421-nucleotide ribosomal RNA is filed under the name uncultured bacterium. RNAcentral describes it as "partial 16S ribosomal RNA". It matches the Rfam family "Bacterial small subunit ribosomal RNA", at positions 360 to 773 of the family's 1533-position model. The record is from RNAcentral.